Molecule: long non-coding RNA, 455 nt
Organism: Priapulus caudatus
Lineage: Eukaryota; Metazoa; Priapulida; Priapulimorpha; Priapulimorphida; Priapulidae
Exons: 4
Source: RefSeq, a predicted model, not a curated record
ACCACGUGCAUGCGGCGCUGCCGGCGCCAGACAAGCCGCUGGCGCUCCCUGCCGGUGACAACCUCAAUCCAGUCGUAGAGGUUGAACAGCAGCAGAAGCGAUUCGAUUCGACGGGCAUGUUCCACUGGUGUCCCGACCGACCGAUUGAGGAGUGCAUCCUGGACCGCAACCAGGCGCCAUGACAGUGCUGAACGGUCUGACCUUGGCGUAUGUCUAUUCGCCGAGCCGGACUCGCCGCUGAUUGGUCUACGGAACCUCGUCAUGCCGCUGCGCGCCUCCAACUUUCACUACCACGAGCUGAAGCACGUUGUCAUACUGGGAAACCUCGAACUACAAUCAAGCGCGAAGUGGCGCAAACCUUCACAAAUCUGCCCAAUGAUCCUCUAAAUACUAGAGGGCUCACCGCUCAGCCGCGCCGACCUGCGCGCCGUGAACGUCAACCUGUGUGACAUGUG